UGGUGGAGUGAUUUGUCUGGUUAAUUCCGUUAACGAACGAGACCUUAGCCUGCUAAAUAGUUGCGGGAAACCUUGGUUUCUUGUUAACUUCUUAGAGGGACUUCGUGUGUUUAACACGAGGAAGUUUGAGGCAAUAACA
Molecule: ribosomal RNA, 139 nt
Filed under: uncultured eukaryote
Lineage: Eukaryota
Description: partial 18S ribosomal RNA
Rfam family: Eukaryotic small subunit ribosomal RNA
Source: RNAcentral